This 201-nucleotide long non-coding RNA is filed under the name Elaeis guineensis (African oil palm). Its description in RNAcentral is "long non-coding RNA (EGUI_LNC035121)". Lineage: Eukaryota; Viridiplantae; Streptophyta; Magnoliopsida; Arecales; Arecaceae. The record is from RNAcentral.
GCUUCUUCAUCUAUCUAAAUAGAAUCAAAGACAUUCAAAGAGAACAACCUGUUAGAUGUGUGCCCUAGAUGCCAGAUUAGCUGACAUAUUCCUGUACAAAUCUAAGGGCAAAUUUAUAAUUUUGACUAUAAAUCAAUAAAUGGGUUAUUCUUCUAUCACAUUGUGUACAUUGUGUCUGUGAUACAUCCUUUGAGUUAGUAG